RNAcentral lists this transfer RNA (76 nucleotides) under Niastella sp. HX-2-15. RNAcentral's name for it is "tRNA-Glu". It matches the Rfam family "tRNA". Rfam says of the family: Transfer RNA (tRNA) molecules are approximately 80 nucleotides in length. Their secondary structure includes four short double-helical elements and three loops (D, anti-codon, and T loops). Further hydrogen bonds mediate the characteristic L-shaped molecular structure. tRNAs have two regions of fundamental functional importance: the anti-codon, which is responsible for specific mRNA codon recognition, and the 3' end, to which the tRNAs corresponding amino acid is attached (by aminoacyl-tRNA synthetases). tRNAs cope with the degeneracy of the genetic code in two manners: having more than one tRNA (with a specific anti-codon) for a particular amino acid; and 'wobble' base-pairing, i.e. permitting non-standard base-pairing at the 3rd anti-codon position. The record is from RNAcentral. Lineage: Bacteria; Pseudomonadati; Bacteroidota; Chitinophagia; Chitinophagales; Chitinophagaceae.
GGUCUGUUCGCCUAGUUGGUUAGGGCGCUGGUCUUUCGAACCAGAUGGAUGAGUUCGAUCCUCAUACAGACUACCA